GUCUGUGCCAAUCUUCCUCCACUGUAUGUGUGUCGCCGCCACAGCGUGACUUGAUGAGUGGUGUGUAGGUCUGUGCCUGGGAUUGGAACCCAGGAACUCGAGCUGUGGAAGUGAGCUUGUGCCACAAGGCUGGCCCCAAGAAUCUGCAUUCUAACAGGCUCCCCAGAGGAUUCACGUUCAUGUUAGAGUCUGAGAAGCGCUGAAGACAUCCUCAGAUGCUUUUGGAACAGAUGUCGGAAGUGCGCGAGACAGGGCCUGGGAAGAUUCCCCUUCCUGCCCUGAUUUCUCUACAGGAAAACUGACCUCUGUGGCAGCCCUGCCCAGGCCUGACCCCAGCCCUGCAAACCGACCCUGGCUGCAGUUUUGGCGCUCAGUUCUUCUCUCUGGCAGGGACCCUCAGGGACAUUGUCGUCUUCCCACUCUCCUUUGGUGCUGCUCUCUGCCUUGAUUCAGGAAAGCCUGAGCCAUUCCGGAAAAUUCAUCCAAACUGCUGCCCGAGGUCCGGACCCUUAGCCAACACCUGAGGUUCUUUGCACGCACCUCCGGACAAAGCCUGAGAUUCUCCCGCUGGAUCCCGAAGGCGACAAAGCCCAGACUGUCCUGUGAGCAGCCAGCUCUGACUGGAAUUCAGGUCUCGCCGGGCACGUCAGGAACAGGGCACAUCUGGAAAAGCGUUUGCCGAGGCUGUUGCUCCAGCAGGCCCAGACGGUGACCAGGCCUGAGUGGCCUCAAGCCCCGCCCAGGGCUCAGGAGCCAGGGUGGGGGACAGUCUCCCCUUAUUUAGCCUGGCUCAGGCCUGUGGGCUCUGGAGGCUGAGCCCGUGCCACUGUCCAUGGGAGGGACAUGGACCCGCCAAGUCAGGCCACACUGGAGGAGGAGCCGGGGUGGAGGCAGCGCCAUCUCAGAGCCCAAACUCCCAGACUAGUGGGCCCGCAGGGGUGACUCUAGCCCCUCCCAGCUUUUAGCCCGGUGCGUCCUCCCCCAUCUCCUCC
Molecule: long non-coding RNA, 992 nt
Filed under: Equus caballus (horse)
Lineage: Eukaryota; Metazoa; Chordata; Mammalia; Perissodactyla; Equidae
Description: lncRNA (ENSECAG00000055042.1)
Source: RNAcentral